AAGAGACAGCAGUCGCCGCGGUAAUACGUAGGUGGCAAGCGUUGUCCGGGAUUAUUGGGCGUAAAGCGCGCGCAGGCGGCCUAUCCAGUCUGUCUUAAAAGUUCGGGGCUCAACCCCGUGAUGGGAUGGAAACUAGUAGGCUAGAGUAUCGGAGAGGAAAGCGGAAUUCCUAGUGUAGCGGUGAAAUGCGUAGAUAUUAGGAAGAACACCAGUGGCGAAGGCGGCUUUCUGGACGAAAACUGACGCUGAGGCGCGAAAGCCAGGGGAGCGAACGGGAUUAGAUACCCCUGUAGUCCCUGUCUCUUAUACA
RNAcentral lists this ribosomal RNA (310 nucleotides) under uncultured bacterium. Its description in RNAcentral is "partial 16S ribosomal RNA". It matches the Rfam family "Bacterial small subunit ribosomal RNA", at positions 503 to 809 of the family's 1533-position model. The record is from RNAcentral.